RNAcentral lists this unclassified non-coding RNA (375 nucleotides) under uncultured Actinomycetes bacterium. RNAcentral describes it as "uncultured actinobacterium contains 16S-23S intergenic spacer region". The record is from RNAcentral. Lineage: Bacteria; Bacillati; Actinomycetota; Actinomycetes.
UCCGGUUUGGCACCGGCAGUCUCCCUAGAGUUCCCGGCUUUACCCGCUGGCAACUAAGGACAAGGGUUGCGCUCGUUGCGCCACUUAAGGCAACACCUCACGGCACGAACUGACGACAGCCAUGCACCACCUGUGCGGGCUCCGUAGAGCGCCGUGUUUCCACGGCUUCACCCCGCAUGUCAAGCCCAGGUAAGGUUCUUCGCGUUGCAUCGAAUUAAGCCACAUGCUCCGCCGCUUGUGCGGGCCCCCGUCAAUUCCUUUGAGUUUUAGCCUUGCGGCCGUACUCCCCAGGCGGGGUGCUUAAUGCGUUAGCUUCGGCACGGAAAGGGUCAAUACUCCCCACACCUAGCACCCAACGUUUACGGCAUGGACUAC